UCAAUAAACUAUCCCUUUUAGUAAAUAAAUAUUCUCAAAUUGAUUAAUUAACUCCUUUCAACUUUUUCGGCUUUGUUUAGAAUUGCAGUGAGAAUGUGUUAUAUAUGGCGAGAAAGAAAAGUGAAAUAAUAUUCUAUUUAUUUUCGCUAAAUAUAUUAUAAGUAGAAAACUUAUAGAAUUUAUCAGAAUUAUAGAUCAUUUUGAGUUGACUAUUCAAUCUUUCAAAAUUUCGACUUUACUAUUCAAGUUUUCAGUUUGUUUAAUUUGGAUCAAUUAAUGGCAUUUUGACUUUAAAAUUUUAAUAAGUCAUGUAUCUUUACAGUUCUGAUUCGUUUGCUUCAUGUAAUUCUCGUAAUAAUAAAUUUAUUUAAAUGAGUGAUUAGAUUAAAUUUUCAAAUCAAAGUAUUGUUGACAGAAUCAAAUGAAAUAAAUUGACCGGUUGGGUAGUAAAAUAAAAAAUUUAAAAUAUUGGGUAGCCGAUUCAAAAUGACAUAUAGUUCAAGUAAAUGUCGUAUGUUUUUUUACCUAUAUUAUAUUGAGGAGAUCGCAAUAAUUCAAUUAAAAUAAGAUUAAUAUUUUUGGCAAAACAUAGAACGGUAUAAUAAAACAUUUUACCAUCCGUGAAGCUACGCUUUACU
RNAcentral lists this long non-coding RNA (638 nucleotides) under Ananas comosus (pineapple). RNAcentral describes it as "long non-coding RNA (ACOM_LNC020222)". Lineage: Eukaryota; Viridiplantae; Streptophyta; Magnoliopsida; Poales; Bromeliaceae. The record is from RNAcentral.